AGACUAGAGGAUGGUAGAGGGAGGUGGAAUUCCCGGUGUAGUGGUGAAAUGCGUAGAUAUCGGGAGGAACACCAGUGGCGAAGGCGGCCUCCUGGGCCAUUCCUGACGCUAAGACGCGAAAGCUAGGGGAGCAAACGGGAUUAGAAACCCCGGUAGUCCUAGCCAUAAACGAUGUGGACUUGGCGUUGGUGGGGUAAAAGCCAUCAGUGCCGUAGCUAACGCGAUAAGUCCACCGCCUGGGGACUACGACCGCAAGGUUAAAACUCAAAGGAAUUGACGGGGACCCGCACAAGCAGCGGAGCGUGUGGUUUAAUUCGAUCUACGCGAAGAACCUUACCCGGGUUUGACAUACUGGUGGUAGGGAUCCGAAAGGUGACCGACCCUUCGGGGAGCCAGUACAGGUGCUGCAUGGCUGUCGUCAGCUCGUGCCGUGAGGUGUCCGGUUAAGUCCGGUAACGAGCGCAACCCUCGCCGCAUGUUACAUGUGUCAUACGGGACUGCCGGUAUAAAGCCGGAGGAAGGUGGGGAUGACGUCAAGUCAGCAUGGCCUUUAUGUCCGGGGCUACACACACGCUACAAUGGCCAGCACAAUGGGUUGCAAGACCGCAAGGUGGAGCCAAUCCCUAAAGCUGGUCUCAGUUCAGAUUGUAGGCUGCAACUCGCCUACAUGAAGCCGGAGUUGCUAGUAACCGCAGGACAGCUAUACUGCGGUGAAUACGUUCCCGGGUCUUGUACACACCGCCCGUCACGUCAUGGAAGCUGGCAACACCUGAAGCCGGUAUCCUAACCCGCAAGGGAGGGAGCUGCCAAAGGUGGGGCUGGUAACUGGGACGAAGUCGUAACAAGGUAACC
Molecule: ribosomal RNA, 852 nt
Filed under: uncultured Chloroflexota bacterium
Lineage: Bacteria; Bacillati; Chloroflexota
Description: bacterial SSU rRNA
Rfam family: Bacterial small subunit ribosomal RNA
Source: RNAcentral